CAUUAUCAGUUUCUGGCUGUGCAUGCUGCAUGUGCAAUCUAAAACAAACCACUCUGUGUACUUUUCCUGUUGCUUUCUUGAGGCAUGGUGCCUUUGGCAUCACUCUGCGGUUGGUUUUUUAUAGCUGCCGGUUUGGAGAGUCCUCAAGAAAGGUUAUCAACUAAACCACUUGCUGUCUUGUGUUUUCAGUCUGAAUAUGACAAAAUCAAUAAAGUUAAAACUUUCAACAACGGAUCUCUUGGUUCUUGCAUCGAUGAAGAACGCAGCGAAAUGCGAUAAGUAGUGUGAAUUGCAGAAUUCAGUGAAUCAUCGAAUCUUUGAACGCACAUUGCGCCCUUCGGUAUUCCGGGGGGCAUGCCUGUUCGAGCGUCAUCAAAAAUAUUUCAAGUCAUCUCAUUUUCUUGGUCAUGGAGGCUGGUUGACAUCAUGUCACCCACCUCUCAAAUUAAUUGGCAGAUUGCAAAAGUUUUACCAAGUGUAAUAAUAAUAACCAUUCAUAAAGUGACUUUUGUAUAUCCAGCCAUCAACCCUCAUUUAUUAUUCAGGUUGACCUCGGAUCAGGUAGGGAUACCCGCUGAACUUAAGCAUAUCAAUAAGCGGAGGAAAAGAAACCAACAGGGAUUGCCUUAGUAACUGCGAGUGAAGCGGCAAAAGCUCAAAUUUGAAAUCUGACGCCUUUGGGUGUUUGAGUUGUAAUUUGGAGGGGCAUCUUCGGGGCUGGUGUCAUUUUAAGUUCUUUGGAACAGGACGUCACAGAGGGUGAGAAUCCCGUGCCUGGAUGGCUGUCUGGCCCCAUGUGAAGUGUCUCCGACGAGUCGAGUUGUUUGGGAAUGCAGCUCAAAAUGGGUGGUAAAUUUCAUCUAAAGCUAAAUAUUGGCAAGAGACCGAUAGCGCACAAGUAGAGUGAUCGAAAGAUGAAAAGCACUUUGAAAAGAGAGUUAAAAAGUACGUGAAAUUGUUGAAAGGGAAGCGCUUGAGAUCAGACUCGACUGGUGGUGAUCAACCAUGCUUUUGUAUGAUGCACUGACUACCAGUUGGGCCAGCAUCAGUUCUGGUGGUGGGAUAAAAGGUGUGGGAACGUAGCUGUAUUCGUACAGUGUUAUAGCCUGCAUCACAAUGUCACUUGCUGGGACUGAGGACCGCACUUUCGGGUUAGGAUGCUGGCGUAAUGGUCUCAAUCGACCCGUCUUGAAACACGGACCAAGGAGUCUAACAUCUAUGCGAGUGUUCGGGUGGAAAACCCUUGCGCGUAAUGAAAGUGAACGGAGGUGGGAACCCCUCGGGGUGCACCAUCGACCGAUCCCGAUGUCUUCGGAAGGAUUUGAGUAAGAGCAUAGCUGUUGGGACCCGAAAGAUGGUGAACUAUGCCUGAAUA
RNAcentral lists this ribosomal RNA (1375 nucleotides) under Aleurina echinata. RNAcentral's name for it is "eukaryotic LSU rRNA". The stretch from base 548 to 1375 matches the Rfam family "Eukaryotic large subunit ribosomal RNA", at positions 1 to 843 of the family's 3401-position model. The record is from RNAcentral. Lineage: Eukaryota; Fungi; Ascomycota; Pezizomycetes; Pezizales; Pyronemataceae.